This 253-nucleotide ribosomal RNA is filed under the name uncultured bacterium. RNAcentral's name for it is "partial 16S ribosomal RNA". It matches the Rfam family "Archaeal small subunit ribosomal RNA", at positions 474 to 727 of the family's 1478-position model. The record is from RNAcentral.
UACCAGCACCCCGAGUGGUCGGGACGAUUAUUGGGCCUAAAGCAUCCGUAGCCGGUUUUACAAGUCCUCCGUUAAAUCCAGUUGCUUAACAGAUGGGCUGCGGAGGAUACUAUAAGACUAGGAGGCAGGAGAGGCAAGCGGUACUCAGUGGGUAGGGGUAAAAUCCGUUGAUCCAUUGAAGACCACCAGUGGCGAAGGCGGCUUGCCAGAAUGCGCUCGACGGUGAGGGAUGAAAGCUGGGGGAGCAAACCGG